RNAcentral lists this ribosomal RNA (696 nucleotides) under Klebsiella pneumoniae. RNAcentral's name for it is "bacterial SSU rRNA". It matches the Rfam family "Bacterial small subunit ribosomal RNA", at positions 29 to 719 of the family's 1533-position model. The record is from RNAcentral. Lineage: Bacteria; Pseudomonadati; Pseudomonadota; Gammaproteobacteria; Enterobacterales; Enterobacteriaceae.
UUGCUCGUUUGGGCCGCCCUAACAUGCAAGUCGAGCGGUAGCACAGAGAGCUUGCUCUCGGGUGACGAGCGGCGGACGGGUGAGUAAUGUCUGGGAAACUGCCUGAUGGAGGGGGAUAACUACUGGAAACGGUAGCUAAUACCGCAUAAUGUCGCAAGACCAAAGUGGGGGACCUUCGGGCCUCAUGCCAUCAGAUGUGCCCAGAUGGGAUUAGCUAGUAGGUGGGGUAACGGCUCACCUAGGCGACGAUCCCUAGCUGGUCUGAGAGGAUGACCAGCCACACUGGAACUGAGACACGGUCCAGACUCCUACGGGAGGCAGCAGUGGGGAAUAUUGCACAAUGGGCGCAAGCCUGAUGCAGCCAUGCCGCGUGUGUGAAGAAGGCCUUCGGGUUGUAAAGCACUUUCAGCGGGGAGGAAGGCGUUAAGGUUAAUAACCUUGGCGAUUGACGUUACCCGCAGAAGAAGCACCGGCUAACUCCGUGCCAGCAGCCGCGGUAAUACGGAGGGUGCAAGCGUUAAUCGGAAUUACUGGGCGUAAAGCGCACGCAGGCGGUCUGUCAAGUCGGAUGUGAAAUCCCCGGGCUCAACCUGGGAACUGCAUUCGAAACUGGCAGGCUAGAGUCUUGUAGAGGGGGGUAGAAUUCCAGGUGUAGCGGUGAAAUGCGUAGAGAUCUGGAGGAAUACCGGUGGCGAA